Molecule: long non-coding RNA, 2479 nt
Organism: Frankliniella occidentalis (western flower thrips)
Lineage: Eukaryota; Metazoa; Arthropoda; Insecta; Thysanoptera; Thripidae
Exons: 3
Source: RefSeq, a predicted model, not a curated record
GCGGGCUUGUCAAUCUACCAUGCGGACUCUUUCACCUGCGAGCAUGAUGCGUUGAGCCCGCAACAGCCUGCCCUUUUGGAGGCACUGCUGGGCCGCUGCAGGCCCCUCGUCGCGCCCUACAAUGGCCGAGGAGAAGAUAGCAAAAGAGGCCGGGCGCGAGUUCGCCGGCAGGAUAGCCAUCAUGGCUCCCAUGCCCCGCCGUCCUGUACAUGAGCGGGUCGGCGUUCGUGAGGAGCAGGACGGUGCGGAGGACGACGACGACAACCGCCUUGCGCUCGGGUUCAGCCGGAGUCGGGGCGCGUGGCGUGGCCGGCGUUACAUCGCCCCCCGCGGGGUAACCUCUCCUCCUGCGUCAUGUGUCCUUGGCACUGUCCGACUCUUUCCCUUACAGCCUGUUCACAGCCGCCUUGGGCUAACGGGAGAGCGCCAGUGGUUCGGUGCGGGGCUCCGGCAGGCCGCUGUCGACGACCGCCCCGCACGCGCAGCCCAGGACUCUACCCCCGAGGCUCAACCCACCAUCACCGUCGCGGCGAUGCGCGAGGCCAAAAUGGAUGAUCUCAACAAUACUGACUGCACGGAAAAAAAUAGUUUCUUGUAUUUCAAGACCCGGUCUUGGAUCUAAGGGAGAACGCCAAUGGCAUCCAAAACCAGGUCUUGAAAUACAAGAAACUAUACCGUGUGUUGUGAGGGCAGAAACUCUUGCGACUGCAACUGUUGCUGCAUGAGGAGGGAGACAAUAAAAAAUAAUAAUUUAAUUUGUCACUGUGACUGUAACUGCUGUAUUAAAUCAAGAGAAAAUAAUUGCAGUUGUACUUGUUGUAAUAGACACCUCAUUAUGGUACUGUGUCAGCUAUGCUUUCGAAAUAGAUUUGAAGAAUAGAUAUGUAAAUUAAUAGGUAGUAAAAAAUUAAAUAAUGUACAGCUAAAAUUUAUUGAUGGCAACAGAAUCAGCAUGACCAUGCUCACAACACAUAUUAAACUAUUGCAAUAUCAGAGUAUUCUCCCUUAAAUCCCUUACCAUGAUGAUAAUUUUUGUUGCAGGACGUCACAUAACGCUGAAACUGCUUCUGGCAGAAAUAAUGUAUGACAGUUCAUAGCACUCUUGAUCACUCCGUGUUGUGUUUAGUUGAACAAGUAGUGCGUUUCGAUGUCCCUUUCUCUUCUGCACCUUUGAGUUUUUGUUUUGAAGUCUCCGCUUGCCUUGUUUGUCACCUAGAUUCUUUAUUUAUACCAAUGCUCAGAUCUUAGUUUGUCUCUUUUUUUGUGGCUUGCUGGUACAUUGUUAGUCGUGCGGCAAACAAGCAAAAAGAAAUCAUAAGAAAAUUACAACGCCAAUAACUUUUAAUUUGACAUGUGGUUUGUUACGUUGAGGCUGAACAAGUACCACGGGCGGGUGGUGCUGAAUCCCUCAGAGAACUGCUCUACCAACUAGGAUUCGAUUUUGUAAUAGAUGAUGGCAAAAGGCAUCUCAUUCAAAAGCCCAGGACAAUUAUGAAGCGCCACAACUUCCUGCGCCAGUUCUAUGAAACUUUCACAUCAGAAAACAGGCUAUAUGAGGUUUACCAGGAUGAGACCUGGACCUUCCUCCGUGGAAGUGGAAUGAAGCCAAGGUCCUGGGUAAAUGAGGACCCCAGGUCAUUCUGUAGGCGGGAGGGGGGUUCAUCCUUGGGGAGAAGGUCUCUAAUCAGCCAUACAGGUGGUGCAGAGGGCUUUGUUUCUGGUGCUGGUUUCUGCGAGGCGUCAUCCACGACUGAUGUGGACUACCACAGAGACAUGAAUGGUGAAAGGUUUAACAGGCACUUUAAAGAGGAUAUGCUCGCCAACUUCACCAGGCCAACCCUCAUAAUAAUGGAUAAUGCCUUCUACCAUACCGUCCAGGUUUGUUUCUAAACUUACAAGAUAACAGUACCAAUAAUAUAAAAUGCUCGCAUUGCAAAGAAUUAAUUCGCAUUGAAAGGAAUUCUUUGCAUAGAAAUAUUUCACAAGCUUACAAAGAACUGGUUCAUUAUGCUGUGCUUCAAAAUUCUUUGCAACUCGCAAGGAAAAUAGUUUGAGAUACAAACAAAUUCUUUGCAAGCAUUUUACAGUGCAGUGGGUUAAUGUUAGAAAGCAAGAUGACGGGAGUAAGUAGAUUAGAGUAGGGAAAGAUGUCAAAUGAUGAAUACCAUCUGAGAGGUGCUUCCCAGUGAUGAUUGACAUAGCAAUGUAAAAGCAAAAAGUGUUUAAAAUUUCACGGAGAUCUGACAAUAAGACCCAUCAAAGUCUGGUUCUAGAGGUGAACAUUUUGAUGCAAAGUCCAGGACAAUGACCAUCAUUGCUAUACUGCUGAUCACAUGUCUGACAUGGAAGACGAUGUCAGUGUGACAAACUUAAGGCGGAAGCGCAGAAAAAAAAUUGAAGAACAUCAAACGAAGUUGCUUUUGACUGCUGUGCUGUUUCAUUACUUUUGUUUUAAAAACCUCUCACAUGUGAGGGUACC